GAUGAACGCUGGCGGCGUGCCUAAUACAUGCAAGUCGAGCGAACAGAUGAGGAGCUUGCUCCUCUGACGUUAGCGGCGGACGGGUGAGUAACACGUGGAUAACCUACCUAUAAGACUGGGAUAACUUCGGGAAACCGGAGCUAAUACCGGAUAAUAUAUUGAACCGCAUGGUUCAAUAGUGAAAGACGGUUUUGCUGUCACUUAUAGAUGGAUCCGCGCCGCAUUAGCUAGUUGGUAAGGUAACGGCUUACCAAGGCAACGAUGCGUAGCCGACCUGAGAGGGGGACCGGCCCCAGUGGAAAUAGGACACGGGCCAACACCCGAGGGGGGGCAGGAGGGGGGAAUUUUCCGAAAGGGGGGAAAGCCUGAGGGGGAAACGCGGGGGGGGGAAAGAAGGUCUUGGGAGUGUAAAACGUUUUUAUGGGGGAAAAAAAAAUGGGAAAGAAAAUAGGCACGUUUUGAGGGUACCAAAACAGAAAGCCGCGGCUAAAUACGU
This 496-nucleotide ribosomal RNA is filed under the name uncultured bacterium. RNAcentral's name for it is "partial 16S ribosomal RNA". It matches the Rfam family "Bacterial small subunit ribosomal RNA", at positions 28 to 506 of the family's 1533-position model. The record is from RNAcentral.